RNAcentral lists this ribosomal RNA (1363 nucleotides) under Lepidodermella broa. RNAcentral describes it as "SSU rRNA". Lineage: Eukaryota; Metazoa; Gastrotricha; Chaetonotida; Chaetonotidae. The record is from RNAcentral.
CAAAGAUUAAGCCGAAAGUCCAAGGUCCGAAAAUUUAACUCCUUGUCUCAAAGACUAGCGAUGACUCUGAAUUCCUUUUGCCGACCGGCUGGUCUUGCGCUGGAGGCUUAUCUCUCAAUGUCUGCCCUAUCAACUUUCGAUGGAAGGUGAUCUGCCGACCAUGGUUGUAACGGGUAACGGAGAAUCACGGUUCGAUUCCGGACAGGGAGCCUGAUAAACGGCUACCACAUCCAAGGAAGGCAGCAUGCGCGCAAAUUACCCACUCCCGGCACGGGGAGGUAGUGACGAAGAAUAACAGUGCUGGGCUUCAAGUCCGGUAAUUGGAAUGAGUACACUUUAAAUCCUUUAACGAGGAUCUAGUGGAGGGCAAGUCUGGUGCCAGCAGCCGCGGUAAUUCCAGCUCCACGAGCAUGUACGUAAGUUGUUGCAGUUAAAAAGCUCGUAGUUGGAUCUCAGGCUUGUGGCCGGUGGUCCGCUCGAUACGGGUGUGCACUGCCGUGCCCGGUCUACGUCUGGUCUCACGUCUGCAGUGCCCUUAACCGGGUGCUGCAGAAUGCCAGAAAGUUUACUCUGAAAAAAUUAGAGUGCUUAAAGCAAGCCGUUUGUGCUUGAAUACUGUUGCAUGGAAUAAGCUUGUCUCAAAGAAUAGGACCGAAAGUCGGAGGUCCUAAUUUUGUUGGUUUUCGGAGAUCGAGGGUAAUGAGUAAGAGGGACAGACGGGGGCAUUCGUGGGAUUUGCGCCGUUUAGAGGUGAAAUUCUUGGGRAUCGGGCGGAAAACACACAGGACGGAAACAACUGCGAAAGCAUUUGCCAAAGGAUGUUUUUCAUUAAUCAAAGAACGAAAGUCAGGAGGUUCGAAGACGAUCAGAUACCGUCGUAGUUCUGACCAUAAACGAUGCCAACUGGCGAUCCGCCGUAGUCUGGCUUAAAGGACUCGGCGGGCAGCCUCCGGGAAACCUAAGUCUAUGGGUUCGGGGGGAAGUAUGGUUGCAAAGCUGAAACUUAAAGGAAUUGACGGAAGGGCACCACCAGGAGUGGAGCCUGCGGCUUAAUUUGACUCAACACGGGAAAACUCACCCGGCCAGGACACCGUUAGGAUUGACAGACUGAGAGCUCUUUCUUGAUUCGGUGGGUGGUGGUGCAUGGCCGUUCUUAGUUGGGGGAGCGAUUUGUCUGGUUAAUUCCGAUAACGAACGAGACUCUAACAUGCUAAAUAGACGGGCGAUCCCGUUGUGGGUCGACCCCAUUUGCUUCUUAGAGGGACAAGUGGCGUUCCUAGCCACGCGAAAUUGAGCAAUAACAGGUCUGUGAUGCCCUUAGAUGUCCGGGGCCGCACGCGCGCUACAAUGAGGGACGCAGUGU